Molecule: long non-coding RNA, 1796 nt
Organism: Apodemus sylvaticus (European woodmouse)
Lineage: Eukaryota; Metazoa; Chordata; Mammalia; Rodentia; Muridae
Exons: 3
Source: RefSeq, a predicted model, not a curated record
CUCGGAGGGGCCGAGAUCCGCGUCCCGACCUUUAGGAAGCCGCCAUCAAAGAAAGCGGCCGCGAGGAGCGCACCGCACAGGGGAAGGUCCACGCGUGCUUGGGCCGCGCGGGGGGGGGGGGACCGGUGCGCGGCCAGAACACAUCCGGAAAGAGCUCUUUUCUCCGGUUCAUCCAGGUAAAAUUGGUGUUUGGCAUGCUCUAAGGGAAUUCCAUCACCGGAGUUAAGAAGGAAAGAAGAGCAUCUGUCCUCCAGGCUGGGCUUUGUCUCAGUUUGCUCUGCGACUGCACUAGCGCAGCAAGGCUACAUAAGGAGGCUUUUCAGCAGAGGAGCCUGGUGUUGAACUCCUGCCAUGGGGAAUGAAUUCUUCUAUAGACCCCUCGUCCUCUUCAGAAAGUUGAAGGGGGACGAUUUGCAAAGAAGAAAAGCAUAUGUGUGUGAAUGUGUCUUCCUGUCCCAGCAUUCUGUUCCUUUGUGUCUUUAAGUUCUUGUGCUUCUGUGUGCACUUGAUUGUCAGUGCAGCGCAAGACGCUCACGAGCCUCCACACUCACAGUGCCCCCGAUAGCGCCAGUGUAAACUACUUUGCACAGCAUGAGUUGUAUUCCUGCUGAAGAACUAACUGGCUUUUACAGAAUUUGCAAAGCUAGCAAUUAGACAACUAACACCGUGCCACUGUGUCACUAAAGGGAAAAUUCAGUAUUGCUAGGAACCGAGAAUGGCUCUCUGCAGUGUUGUUUUUAUGGGAAGAAAUAUGUAUAUAGAGAAGUCCUGGGUUCUGUCACCAGCAUCAUAGAGAGCCCUGAGUGCUGGUCUCAGUUCCCAAAGUAUAAUUCAUUGUAAGUCAUUAGCACAUCGAUAAAGGCUCGAAAUCUUCAGAAUACCUGUGACUUUUCUCACAGCCAAAAGGACUUGAACUGUUAUGCAUUCAGCCAAGGAGCGUUUGAGACUCAAGAGAUAAAUGGGGAGUGGUAGGCCAGGCCUGUGUUGGGAGAACAGGGAGACGUGGCAGGAAGAUGAGGAGCUGAAGGCCGCCCUCUGUGGUGAACCACAAGUUCAAGAAAAAGAAAAGGGAACCAAAACCGUGUUCUGAGUCGUGUGUUGUGAUAGCCAUGAAAGAAGGAAGGGGACAUAGGUAGCUGUGGUAGCACAACCUAUGUCCUAAAUUUAAGGGAGACAGGUGCUUGGGGCGCCCUGAGGCCGCCAUUCAGUGGUACAGAGCUUCCCAGCGCUCAUGAGGUCCUGGGUUCUGUCACCAGCAUCCUAGAGAGGAUCAUGCUUAAAGAUACCCAAAUGGCCUGUACAGACAAAACCCUGAUCUUUUGUUAAUGCAUAAGCGUCGUGACUGGUCACACCUGAGGACAUGAUGUGGAAAAGGAGGAAAAUCCUAAAACCCCCAAAAGCUCAGUUAACCACGUCCAACACAGGAACAGACUGAGUGAAAGACUGUACGCGAAGGCAAACACAAGGCUGCACUAGACAAGGCCGACUGUAAUCCGGUCAGUCUGGUUUGAAGACUGAAGUUCCCACUUCAUACUUAAGUCUCGAUCUUCCCUUUUAAAGGCAUUAAAAUACCUUAGCUGUUUAUUAAACAAUAAGAACCAUCAGUGCUGAGCCAGGCAGUGAUGGCACACGCCUUCAUUCCCACCGCUCAGGAGGCGGAAGCAGAAGCAGGUGGAUCUCUGAGUUCAAGGCCAGCCUGGUCGACCGAGUGAGUUCCAGGACACGGAGAAACUUGGUCUUGCAAAACAAGACCUCGAGGACUGAGGAAAAUAUGUGAGAACAAAUAAAUAAGUUAA